UACGUAGGGUGCGAGCGUUGUCUGGAAUUACUGGGCGUAAAGAGCUCGUGGGUGGUUUGUCGCGUUGUUCGUGAAAACUCACAACUCAAUUGUGGGCGUGCGGGCGAUACGGGCAGACUGGAGUACUGCAGGGGAGACUGGAAUUCCUGGUGUAGCGGUGGAAUGCGCAGAUAUCAGGAGGAACACCGGUGGCGAAGGCGGGUCUCUGGGCAGUAACUGACGCUGAGGAGCGAAAGCGUGGGGAGCGAACAGG
Molecule: ribosomal RNA, 253 nt
Filed under: uncultured bacterium
Lineage: Bacteria
Description: partial 16S ribosomal RNA
Rfam family: Bacterial small subunit ribosomal RNA
Source: RNAcentral